GGAUACGAUCAUACCAACUCACAUGCACCGGAUCCCAUCUGAAGUCCGAAGUUAAAGGAGUCUGGGCACGAGUAGUACUAGGAUGGAUGAUCCCCUGGAAAGUCUUCGUGUUGCAUCUC
RNAcentral lists this ribosomal RNA (119 nucleotides) under Malus domestica (apple). The record is from RNAcentral. Lineage: Eukaryota; Viridiplantae; Streptophyta; Magnoliopsida; Rosales; Rosaceae.